GACGAACGCUGGCGGCGUGCUUAACACAUGCAAGUCGAACGAAGAGCGAUGGAAGCUUGCUUCUAUCAAUCUUAGUGGCGAACGGGUGAGUAACGCGUAAUCAACCUGCCCUUCAGAGGGGGACAACAGUUGGAAACGACUGCUAAUACCGCAUACGAUCUGUCCUCGGCAUCGAGGAUAGAUGAAAGGUGGCCUCUACAUGUAAGCUAUCACUGAAGGUGGGGAUUGCGUCUGUUUAGUUAGGUGGAGGGGUAACGGCGCUCCAAGGCGAUGAUCAGUAGCCGGACUGAGAGGAUGAGUGGCCACAGUGGGAGGGAGACAGGGCCCAGAGUCCUACGGGAGCGAGCAGGAGGGAAUCUUCCGGAAGGGACGAAAGUCUGACGGAGCAACGCCGCGUGAGGGAUGACGGACGUCGGGUUGUGAAGGUCGGUUAAUCGGGACGAAAGGGCUUUUUGCGAAUAGGGAGAAGGAUUGACGGUACCGGAAGAGAAAGCCACGGCUAACUACGUG
RNAcentral lists this ribosomal RNA (510 nucleotides) under uncultured bacterium. RNAcentral's name for it is "partial 16S ribosomal RNA". It matches the Rfam family "Bacterial small subunit ribosomal RNA", at positions 28 to 507 of the family's 1533-position model. The record is from RNAcentral.